CUGCGAAUGGCUCAUUAUAUAAGUUAUCGUUUAUUUGAUAGUACCUUACUACUUGGAUAACCGUGGUAAUUCUAGAGCUAAUACAUGCUAAAAAUCCCGACUUCGGAAGGGAUGUAUUUAUUAGAUUAAAAACCAAUGCCCUCUGGGCUCUCUGGUGAUUCAUAAUAACUUCUCGAAUCGCAUGGCCUUGCGCCGGCGAUGGUUCAUUCAAAUUUCUUCCCUAUCAACUUUCGAUGUUUGGGUAGUGGCCAAACAUGGUUGCAACGGGUAACGGAGGGUUAGGGCUCGACCCCGGAGAAGGAGCCUGAGAAACGGCUACUACAUCCAAGGAAGGCAGCAGGCGCGCAAAUUACCCAAUCCCGAUUCGGGGAGGUAGUGACAAUAAAUACUGAUACAGGGCUCUUUUGGGUCUUGUAAUUGGAAUGAGUACAAUUUAAAUCCCUUAACGAGGAACAAUUGGAGGGCAAGUCUGGUGCCAGCAGCCGCGGUAAUUCCAGCUCCAAUAGCGUAUAUUAAAGUUGUUGUGGUUAAAAAGCUCGUAGUUGAACCUUGGGCCUGGCUGGCCGGUCCGCCUCACCGCGUGUACUGGUCCGGCCGGGCCUUUCCCUCUGUGGAACCCCAUGCCCUUCACUGGGUGUGGCGGGGAAACAGGACUUUUACUUUGAAAAAAUUAGAGUGCUCCAGGCAGGCCUAUGCUCGAAUACAUUAGCAUGGAAUAAUGAAAUAGGACGUGCGGUUCUAUUUUGUUGGUUUCUAGGACCGCCGUAAUGAUUAAUAGGGACAGUCGGGGGCAUCAGUAUUCAAUUGUCAGAGGUGAAAUUCUUGGAUUUAUUGAAGACUAACUACUGCGAAAGCAUUUGCCAAGGAUGUUUUCAUUAAUCAGGAACGAAAGUUAGGGGAUCGAAGACGAUCAGAUACCGUCGUAGUCUUAACCAUAAACUAUGCCGACUAGGGAUCGGACGAUGUAAUUUUUGACUCG
RNAcentral lists this ribosomal RNA (979 nucleotides) under Petchiella siamensis. RNAcentral's name for it is "[Petchia] siamensis SSU rRNA". It matches the Rfam family "Eukaryotic small subunit ribosomal RNA", at positions 87 to 1078 of the family's 1831-position model. The record is from RNAcentral. Lineage: Eukaryota; Fungi; Ascomycota; Sordariomycetes; Hypocreales; Clavicipitaceae.